RNAcentral lists this ribosomal RNA (465 nucleotides) under uncultured beta proteobacterium. RNAcentral's name for it is "bacterial SSU rRNA". It matches the Rfam family "Bacterial small subunit ribosomal RNA", at positions 198 to 644 of the family's 1533-position model. Lineage: Bacteria; Pseudomonadati; Pseudomonadota; Betaproteobacteria. The record is from RNAcentral.
GGAGGAAAGCAGGGGAUCGCAAGACCUUGCGCUUUUGGAGCGGCCGAUGUCUGAUUAGCUAGUUGGUGAGGUAAAGGCUUACCAAGGCGUCGAUCAGUAGCUGGUCUGAGAGGACGACCAGCCACACUGGGACUGAGACACGGCCCAGACUCCUACGGGAGGCAGCAGUGGGGAAUUUUGAACAAUGGGGGAAACCCUGAUCCAGCCAUGCCGCGUGAGUGAAGAAGGCCUUCGGGUUGUAAAGCUCUUUCAGCCGGAACGAAACGGUCACGGCUAAUACCUGUGAUCACUGACGGUACCGGAAGAAGAAGCACCGGCUAACUACGUGCCAGCAGCCGCGGUAAUACGUAGGGUGCAAGCGUUAAUCGGAAUUACUGGGCGUAAAGCGUGCGCAGGCGGUUUUGUAAGUCAGAUGUGAAAUCCCCGGGCUUAACCUGGGAACUGCGUUUGAAACUACAAAGCUAG